Molecule: non-coding RNA, 144 nt
Organism: Gossypium raimondii (Peruvian cotton)
Lineage: Eukaryota; Viridiplantae; Streptophyta; Magnoliopsida; Malvales; Malvaceae
Source: Rfam
UGUUAAAAAUUUCAUCAAUUUGUAGGUUAAAAACUAACGUGGUUGAUGAAAUCACCAAAUGGUGACAUGUGACAUACUACGUGCACCUCAUGUUAACGUACAAGGACCAAUUUUUAACAACAAAAAAGGAUGAAAUUUUUGACA